This 252-nucleotide non-coding RNA is filed under the name Nodipecten subnodosus. The record is from RNAcentral. Lineage: Eukaryota; Metazoa; Mollusca; Bivalvia; Pectinida; Pectinidae.
UACGGAUGUGUCCAUCGCCUUCUCUAACCCUAACCACAUUGUCGCUCUCUCUAUUGCGCUUUCUGCUGUUUUGUUAACCAGUUUUCAGCAGGAAAGGGAGGUGCAAAAUUACAAAAAGCUGGUCCGUCGGUCAAAAGCUACCAGCUGUAAGUUGUCUUGUUAUGCAUUUAAUACUCAGCCGGUGAGUCGACGCCCGGUUGGGUGUUGGUGUUCAAUUGACAAGAACGACUUAUGGCCGUGCAUAGAUAAAAU